RNAcentral lists this ribosomal RNA (253 nucleotides) under uncultured archaeon. Its description in RNAcentral is "partial 16S ribosomal RNA". It matches the Rfam family "Archaeal small subunit ribosomal RNA", at positions 474 to 727 of the family's 1478-position model. The record is from RNAcentral.
UACCCGCGGCCCGAGUGGUGCUCAUUAUUAUUGAGCUUAAAGCGUCCGUAGCCGGCCUCGUAAAUCUUUGGGUAAAUCGGGCAGCUCAACUGUUCGAAUUCCGAGGAGACUGCGAGGCUCGGGACCGGGAGAGGUCAGAGGUACUCUCGGGGUAGGGGUAAAAUCCUGUAAUCCUGAGAGGACCACCAGUGGCGAAGGCGUCUGACGAGAACGGAUACGACGGUGAGGGACGAAGCCCUGGGGCGCAAACGGG